Molecule: ribosomal RNA, 497 nt
Filed under: uncultured bacterium
Lineage: Bacteria
Description: partial 16S ribosomal RNA
Rfam family: Bacterial small subunit ribosomal RNA
Source: RNAcentral
GAUGAACGCUGGCGGCGUGCCUAAUACAUGCAAGUCGAGCGAACGGACGAGAAGCUUGCUUCUCUGAUGUUAGCGGCGGACGGGUGAGUAACGCGUGUAUAACCUACCUAUAAUACUGGUAUAACUUCGGGAAUCCGGAUCUAAUACCGGAUGAUCUUUUGAACCGCGUGGUUCAAAAGUGAGAGACGGUCUUGCUGUCACGUCUAGAUGGUUCCGCGCUGCAUUAGCUAGUUGGUAAGGUAACGGCUUACCAAGGCAAGGAUGCCUAGACGACCUGAGGGGGGGAUCGGCCGCCUGGGAACUGAGCCACGGACAAGAGUCCUAAGGGACGGAGCAGUAGGGAAUCUUACGCAAUGGGCGAAAGCAUGACGCAGCAACGCCGAGUCAGUGACGAAGAUCUUCGGAUCGUAAAAAUGUGUUACUAGGGAAGAACCGAUGUCGACGUAAAUGUGCCGAGCUUGACGGUAACUAAUAAGGAAGCAACGGCUAACUACGUG